CCCUCCCUCCCCAGACCCUCCUACUUCCUGGACAGUGUUGAAACAUGGAUGCUGUCCAGGAAGUAGGAGGGUCUGGGAGGGAGGG
This is a non-coding RNA of Pelobates cultripes (western spadefoot toad), 85 nucleotides long. Lineage: Eukaryota; Metazoa; Chordata; Amphibia; Anura; Pelobatidae. The record is from the annotation of a GenBank genome assembly.